GAUGAACGCUGGCGGCGUGCUUAACACAUGCAAGUCGAACGGGAAUUACUUUAUUGAAACUUCGGUCGAUUUCAUUUAAUUCUAGUGGCGGCCGGGUGAGUAACGCGUGGGUAACCUGCCUUAUACAGGGGGAUAACAGUCAGAAAUGGCUGCUAAUACCGCAUAAGCGCACAGAGCUGCAUGGCUCGGUGUGAAAAACUCCGGUGGUAUAAGAUGGACCCGCGUUGGAUUAGCUUGUUGGUGGGGUAACGGCCCACCACGGCGACGAUCCAUAGCCGGCCUGAGAGGGUGAACGGCCACAUUGGGACUGAGACACGGCCCAGACUCCUACGGGAGGCAGCAGUGGGGAAUAUUGCACAAUGGGGGAAACCCUGAUGCAGCGACGCCGCGUGAAGGAAGAAGUAUCUCGGUAUGUAAACUUCUAUCAGCAGGGAAGAUAGUGACGGUACCUGACUAAGAAGCCCCGGCUAACUACGUG
This 478-nucleotide ribosomal RNA is filed under the name uncultured bacterium. RNAcentral's name for it is "partial 16S ribosomal RNA". It matches the Rfam family "Bacterial small subunit ribosomal RNA", at positions 28 to 507 of the family's 1533-position model. The record is from RNAcentral.